RNAcentral lists this unclassified non-coding RNA (381 nucleotides) under uncultured bacterium. RNAcentral's name for it is "contains 16S-23S intergenic spacer region". The record is from RNAcentral.
UCCGGUUUGGCACCGGCAGUCUUCCCAGAGUCCCCGACAUAACUCGCUGGCAACUGGGAACGGGGGUUGCGCUCGUUGCGGGACUUAACCCAACAUCUCACGACACGAGCUGACGACAGCCAUGCAGCACCUGAACCGGAGGUCCCCGAAGGGAAGACCCCAUCUCUGGAGCUGUCCUCCGUUGUCUAGCCCAGGUAAGGUUCUUCGCGUUGCGUCGAAUUGAACCACAUGCUCCACCGCUUGUGCGGGCCCCCGCCUAUUCCUUCGAGUUUUAACCUUGCGGCCGUACUCCCCAGGCGGGGCGCUUAAUGCGUUAGCUGCGGCACGGAGAACGUGGAAGGUUCCCCACACCUAGCGCCCAACGUUUACGGCGUGGACUAC